Molecule: non-coding RNA, 2289 nt
Organism: Phascolarctos cinereus (koala)
Lineage: Eukaryota; Metazoa; Chordata; Mammalia; Diprotodontia; Phascolarctidae
Source: RefSeq, a predicted model, not a curated record
GUGACUUAGUGUUUUUAUGACAGUUGGGCUCUGGUCCUGCACUGUUCCAAGCUUUUUGUGCUAGGGUUCUGGGUCUUACUCCUGGUUUUCACUGGGCUUUAGGGCUCAGCUGCUUGCUUUGUCUGGAGGGUACUCCCUUUGGCUUAUACUGGGUGGGUGGGGGAGGUGUGGAGCCUCCCUGUUGGCCUCACCUGGGUGUGGGGUUUAGCUGCUGGUCUGCUUCAGGUGUGGGGCAUUGCUGCUGGGUUGCUAUGGAAACAGGGACUCUUUGCCUGUUGGCCCCAGGGAUGGGGUCUCAACUGUUGGCCAGCCCUGGGGCAGGGCUUCACUACUGGUUAGCAGUGGCAUCAAGGCCUUGCUUGGUAGCUUGUGCUGGGGGUUGGGUCACUGAGGUGGGGCCUUGCUAUGUUGCACAGACUGCUCAGUUGCCUAGGGGGCUGCUGGUUUGCAGGAGAGUGGGACCUGGCUUGGUGGAUGGCUCCAGGCCCCUUGCUGUGAGGCUGGCUGCUGCUGCUCCUGAGACAGACCUUUCCUCCUGUGCUGGAAAAAGAACUGAGACUUGGAUAAAAUAUCAUCAUAAAAAAUCACAGAGCAAAAAAAAAAAGGUAAGAAUGGUUCUUGUUCUGAUAGAACAGAUAGAUAUUGUUCUGAUAGAAAGAGGUAAACUCAUGGAACAAAACAUUAGAUUAGUAAACUCCUUGAGGUUAGGGACUCAUAUUUCUUCUGUAUCUACCCACAGUGCUUAGUAUAAUGCUCUAUUAUGUGAAGAUUCAAUAAAUAACACAGAAUUACUGACCUUUGGUGCUUAACAUUAAUCACAUACUACUGAAGCAUAACCUUUGGUUGUGAUGCCUUAAUAGUAAAAGGAGAUAGGUGAUAGUCUUUACAAACUGAUAUCCCAAAUACCAACACACAGUUAAAAAUUGUCUACCAGCUGUUCUAAGGGCUUGUCAAUUGUGAAGUACUGUUCUUAUAUCAGCAACAUCAACAUCACCACAAAAUACAUUUAGAGAGAAUGAAGAGGAGAAGGAAUACAGGCAGGCUAACUGGCAGAACUUUUGGGGGUGGGUUUCUUAUGUUUUAUAUAUAUAUAUAUAUAUAUGUAUUUAUUUCAGUAUGUUUUCUUGGAUUCUUAAAAAGUAAAGUUCUUUAUAAGCAAAUUUCCUGCUUUCUUCUCAGGUAGGAAGCAAAGAAGGGGAGCCAUAAAGGGCAGGCAGGAGGCAAAUGUGAACACAUGUACCAGGAUGGAAGGAAGAUGAAGAUGAACUCCAGGAUUAGAGCAGCACCCAUCAGACACAUCUAGAUACAUACUGCUUUCCCCUGUCCCAAAUGGUAAAGGUUCUUUCCAGGAAUUUCUAAAGCCACCAAACAUCCCACUUUGGCAUUUCUGCCAGAUAUCUCUGCCACAAACACUGGCUUAGAAGAUAUAAGGCAAUAUUUCCUGGCUAUAAUCUAAACCUUUCUAAGGUUAUUAUAAAACAAAAGAUCUAUCAUGGGUAAUGAUUUCCUCAAUGUCCACCACUUUUCUCUUGACCUCGAUCCUUUUUAUUUCCUUCAUCAUGCAACUCUUGCAGAAGUUUAAGGUGCUAAAAAUCUCAAGGGGAAAUUCCUUCCAUUGAAAUCUUGCUGUUUCCCUCCUUUCCUAUUCACCAUUCUAUUUCCCUUCUAGUUGUGAACCAACCCUUACUAAGACAUAAAGUUUGCACAGAUAAAGCAGUUAGUGCUUUCUGAUGGCAAUAAAACUAAUUAACAGUUGGGAGCAAUAAAUUCAGAUGAAGCAAAAGACAGAAACAAAUAUUUUUAAAAAUAUGUAAGCCACCAUUUUCUGCUAACCUCUCAAUACGGAGUGUUCUUUACCGAAAAUCCCAGCUUGGAAAAGAGAAAGUCUGUGGUAGCCAUAACUGAAGACCAAACAUAGCUCCCACCACCUUAAGUCAUUUCCCUCUUCUAGGCUAUAUACAAGGAGUACUUAGAACAAAUACCAAUUAAGGAUGGGUAAAGAAGCAAUUGGUGGCCCUAAAAAGUCACUAAUUACAAAUCCUCUAACCUGAACAAGACCCUGGUUUUGUUAGUAACUGAAGUUGUCAGUGCAGAAUGAAGCCUGCCUGACAUCAAUUAAUUUAUCACUCAAGUCUCAUUUUCUCUAUCACUCAAUUCUAAUUUCUCUCUCUCUCUCUCUCUCACACACACACACACACACACACACACACAAAUUUAAGAAAAUGUAAGUGUGGAAUGGAGCAUAAUUUAUCAUCAUUAAAGGUGGGGAAAGUAUCUCUGAGAACUGCA